This 490-nucleotide ribosomal RNA is filed under the name uncultured bacterium. Its description in RNAcentral is "partial 16S ribosomal RNA". It matches the Rfam family "Bacterial small subunit ribosomal RNA", at positions 29 to 507 of the family's 1533-position model. The record is from RNAcentral.
AGUGAACGCUGGCGGUAGGCCUAACACAUGCAAGUCGAACGGCAGCACAGGAGAGCUUGCUCUCUGGGUGGCGAGUGGCGGACGGGUGAGGAAUACAUCGGAAUCUACCUUUUCGUGGGGGAUAACGUAGGGAAACUUACGCUAAUACCGCAUACGACCUACGGGUGAAAGUGGGGGACCGCAAGGCCUCACGCGAUUAGAUGAGCCGAUGUCCGAUUAGCUAGUUGGCGGGGUAAUGGCCCACCAAGGCGACGAUCGGUAGCUGGUCUGAGAGGAUGAUCAGGCCAACUGGAACUGAGAACCGGUCCCGACUCCUACGGGGAGGCGCAGUGGGGAAUAUUGGGCAAUGGGCUCAAGCCUGAUCCAGCCAUACCGCGUGGGUUAAGAAAGCCUUCGGGUUGUAAAGCCCUUUUGUUGGGAAAGAAAUCCUGUCGAUUAAUACUCGGUGGGGAUGACGGUACCCAAAGAAUAAGCACCGGCUAACUUCGUG